This 895-nucleotide ribosomal RNA is filed under the name uncultured bacterium. RNAcentral's name for it is "bacterial SSU rRNA". It matches the Rfam family "Bacterial small subunit ribosomal RNA", at positions 56 to 963 of the family's 1533-position model. The record is from RNAcentral.
UGCAGUCGAGCGACAGCAUUCCUUCGGGGGUGUAUGGAGCGGCGAACGGGUGAGUAACACGUGGGCAACCUGCCCUCAGCUCUGGGAUAACUCCGGGAAACCGGGGCUAAUACCGGAUAUGACCUUUCACGACAUCGUGUUUGGUGGAAAGUUUUUCGGCUGAGGAUGGGCCCGCGGCCUAUCAGCUUGUUGGUGGGGUAAUGGCCUACCAAGGCGACGACGGGUAGCCGGCCUGAGAGGGCGACCGGCCACACUGGGACUGAGACACGGCCCAGACUCCUACGGGAGGCAGCAGUGGGGAAUAUUGCGCAAUGGGCGAAAGCCUGACGCAGCGACGCCGCGUGAGGGAUGAAGGCCUUCGGGUUGUAAACCUCUUUCAGCAGGGACGAAGCGCAAGUGACGGUACCUGCAGAAGAAGCACCGGCCAACUACGUGCCAGCAGCCGCGGUAAUACGUAGGGUGCAAGCGUUGUCCGGAAUUAUUGGGCGUAAAGAGCUCGUAGGCGGUUUGUCGCGUCGGCUGUGAAAUCUCGGGGCUCAACCCCGAGCCUGCAGUCGAUACGGGCAGACUAGAGUGCUGUAGGGGAGACUGGAAUUCCUGGUGUAGCGGUGAAAUGCGCAGAUAUCAGGAGGAACACCGGUGGCGAAGGCGGGUCUCUGGGCAGUAACUGACGCUGAGGAGCGAAAGCGUGGGGAGCGAACAGGAUUAGAUACCCUGGUAGUCCACGCCGUAAACGGUGGGUGCUANGUGUGAGCGGUAUUCCACGCCGUUCGUGCCGCAGCUAACGCAUUAAGCACCCCGCCUGGGGAGUACGGCCGCAAGGCUAAAACUCAAAGGAAUUGACGGGGGGCCCGCACAAGCAGCGGANCAUGUGGCUUAANUUCGACGCAACGCG